GGUUGAUCCUGCCAGUAGUCAUAUGCUUGUCUCAAAGAUUAAGCCAUGCAUGUCUCAGUAUAAGCUUCUGCACGGUGAAACUGCAAACGGCUCCUUAAAACAGUUAUAAUUUAUUUGGUGGCUGACUAUUACAUGGAUACCUGUGGUAAUUCUAGAGCUAAUACAUGCGCCAAAGCCUGACUUCUGGAAGGGCUGUGUUUAUUAGAUACAGAACCAACCUAGGCUCUGCCUAGCCUUUUGGUGACUCAUAAUAACUGAAUGAAUCGCAUUGCUCUGCUGGCGAUAAACCAUU
This 292-nucleotide ribosomal RNA is filed under the name uncultured eukaryote. Its description in RNAcentral is "partial 18S ribosomal RNA". It matches the Rfam family "Eukaryotic small subunit ribosomal RNA", at positions 6 to 299 of the family's 1831-position model. The record is from RNAcentral.